UAGGGAAUAUUGCACCAUGGGCGAAAGCCUGAUGCAGCAACGCCGCGUGAGUGAAGAAGGCCUUCGGGUCGUAAAACUCUUUUCAAGGGAAAGAGGAAGGACGGUACCCUUGGAAUAAGCAUCGGCUAACUACGUGCCAGCAGCCGCGGUAACACGUAGGAUGCAAGCGUUAUUCGGAUUUACUGGGCGUAAAGCGCGUGUAGGCGGUUAGGAGAGUUGGAUGUGAAAGCUCCCGGCUUAACUGGGAGAGGUCGUUCAAAACUUCCUGACUAGAGUUUGGUAGAGGAAAAUGGAAUUCCGGGUGUAGUGGUGAAAUGCGUAGAUAUCCGGAGGAACACCAGUGGCGAAAGCGAUUUUCUGGACCGAUACUGACGCUCAGACGCGAAAGCUAGGGUAGCAAACGGG
RNAcentral lists this ribosomal RNA (405 nucleotides) under uncultured bacterium. RNAcentral's name for it is "bacterial SSU rRNA". It matches the Rfam family "Bacterial small subunit ribosomal RNA", at positions 355 to 776 of the family's 1533-position model. The record is from RNAcentral.